GCCCGUAUAGCUCAGUGGUAGAGCGCAUCACUCGUAUCAAAUUGCGACAUGAUGAGGUCCGCGGUUCAAUCCCGCGUGGGGGCA
RNAcentral lists this transfer RNA (84 nucleotides) under Collariella sp. IMI 366227. RNAcentral describes it as "tRNA-Thr". It matches the Rfam family "tRNA". From Rfam's summary of the family: Transfer RNA (tRNA) molecules are approximately 80 nucleotides in length. Their secondary structure includes four short double-helical elements and three loops (D, anti-codon, and T loops). Lineage: Eukaryota; Fungi; Ascomycota; Sordariomycetes; Sordariales; Chaetomiaceae. The record is from RNAcentral.